Balaenoptera musculus (blue whale) is the source of this 1756-nucleotide long non-coding RNA. RefSeq lists it as uncharacterized. NCBI's taxonomy places the organism in Eukaryota, Metazoa, Chordata, Mammalia, Artiodactyla, Balaenopteridae. The transcript has 3 exons. The record is from RefSeq and is a predicted model, not a curated record.
CAAAAAUCUGAAAGUCAUUAUCAGUGAACACAAGAAUGUAAAUACAGUGCACUCGGCCAGUCCUUCACAAAAAAUCACGCUUGCCUGGCAAUGCACAGCUUUGGAAGGGGAGGCGCUGCUACACUGGAGUGUGGUGUUUUUCUUUCUCUCUUUCUUUCUUUCUCUGUCUCUCUCUCUUUUUUUUUUUAACUGCAUUCCUUUACUGGAAAGGGUGGAAAUGCUGCCAGGCCCAGCUGCCGGCUCGUGGGAAGGCUCCGGAGGCUUUUCACCUUCAAAGCCCUUGAGAGAUGCCUUGGCCGUGUCACUGAGCCGGCCAGGCCUUUCCCCAGGUCUGUGCUGUCCAAUAGGGGAGCCAGCAGCCACCUGUGGCCAGUGAGCGCUUGAAAUCCAGCUCAUGAACGGAGCGGCUCCAUUUUCCAUUUAUUUCAGGGCACAAGUGCUGUCCCUGAUACUUCGGUCCUGGAGCCCUGGCACGAAGCACACACAGCAGGCUGACCACCGAGCCAGGAGUCCUGGGGAUGGAGGUCACCCGAGGAAACGGAGACCUGGUGCAUGUCCUCGAGAGGCCUGUAAUCUAGUUGAUGAUCUGAUCUUAAAUUCAGGAAAUGUUUUAAACUCUCUCCAAAGGUGUGUAAAACUCGGUGGCAGAGAUGGCGUGACUUUUCAGCAGGGCCAUUUAUGCGGCCCUGAUAUUUUUACCUGGAUUCUAUUUCCCAUUCGUGAAACCCAGCUGCCCGUCAGACAGGCCUCAGAUGCAUGUGGCAAUUCUUCUGAAACAAUUCAAGUUUCAGAGGGGAAUGUGAAUCUACCUCCAGGCUUCUCUAUGCAUUUUGUAGGCUCUCUUGGCAAUGGUACCCGCUUCAGAACAAGUUCUUUAGAUUUAGGGGCAAACUGGCCAAAGGAGGGACACAUAUAUUUCUUAUUUGCUGGGUCAAGUAUCACAGUUUCUUAGGUCCUAGAAAUCCUGGUACUUGCACUUCAGAAUCCCAAACUCAAAUACUAUAUACUGGUAUAUAAACUCAAAUACUAUGGCCUCGUUGUUCGUCUAUCUGAAGACUGAAGCCCCAAAAUCUUAAGAGAAUUUCCCCUUCUCAUCGAGGAGGAAAACACUUUUUGUGAAAGUUAAACCCACACGGGUUCCCCAGGGCAACAGAACCAAGAAGUGACACUGGGGGAGUGGUGUGUCCUGAGCCCCUGCCAUCCACCGUCCGCCACGGGGCUGGGUUGAGGGGCAUUGGCAAAGGGCAGGAGGGGAAGCGAGUGCCCAGCUGGCUGGAGUGAGGAUGCAGAGCGGCGUAAAGGACGUGGCCCAGAACACCAGGGCCGGAACUGAGCAAGAGAGGAACUGAGACAGAUGUUACUCUGGAAGCCUGCACGUCAAAUUCCUCAAAGCACAGAAGUGCCAUCAACACCGUGUGUUCCUCUAGAAUAAAACUCAUGCACGGGAGGUGCCUGCACUGGCUUUCCCUGUGCAUCAGGCACGGCCUUUCACCCAGCAAGAUGCCACAGAAGGGCAGGACCCAUGACAGAGGUUCACCUUACCUUAAGACUUGGAAUUUUGGGGAGCUCAGACUCAUCGACGGGAGAUGUGGGGAGAAUUCGUGGGCUACUUGGGCAAACUCGGCACCUGCCUCUGAGAGCUGGUUGGACGUUUGACUUAGAAAAAGACUCUCAGAAGGUGUGACUCAGGGCCUCAUGGAGUUCUACCAUGGAGAUGAGGGUUGCUUUUUGAUGCAACGAUGUAUCAUCUGCCAUU